RNAcentral lists this ribosomal RNA (31 nucleotides) under Nelumbo nucifera (sacred lotus). The record is from RNAcentral. Lineage: Eukaryota; Viridiplantae; Streptophyta; Magnoliopsida; Proteales; Nelumbonaceae.
GGGUGCCUUCAUACCAGCACUAAAUCACCGA